AUACGGAGGGUGCAAGCGUUAUCCGGAUUUAUUGGGUUUAAAGGGUGCGCAGGCGGCGAUGUAAGUCAGUGGUGAAAGGCUGCCGCUUAACGGUAGGACUGCCAUUGAUACUGCAUUGCUUGAGUAUGGUUGAGGUAAGCGGAAUGUGUGGUGUAGCGGUGAAAUGCAUAGAUAUCACACAGAACACCGAUUGCGAAGGCAGCUUACUAAGCCAUUACUGACGCUGAGGCACGAAAGCGUGGGUAGCGAACAGGAUUAGAAACCCUUGUAGUCC
RNAcentral lists this ribosomal RNA (274 nucleotides) under uncultured bacterium. RNAcentral describes it as "partial 16S ribosomal RNA". It matches the Rfam family "Bacterial small subunit ribosomal RNA", at positions 523 to 796 of the family's 1533-position model. The record is from RNAcentral.